This 88-nucleotide non-coding RNA is filed under the name unclassified sequences. The record is from RNAcentral.
AUUUUCCUGCCACCGGGUAGGGAUGCCAAGGCAUCUGCCGCACAUCGUUAGGUCUUAGAAGAUGUGCAAAGCAGAUGUCUUUUAUUUU